CCUACGGCGGCUGCAGUGGGGAAUCUUGGACAAUGGGGGCAACCCUGAUCCAGCCAUGCCGCGUGUGUGAAGAAGGCCUUCGGGUUGUAAAGCACUUUCAGUAGGGAGGAAGGCUUAUCCUUAAUACGGAUGAGUACUUGACGUUACCUACAGAAGAAGCACCGGCUAAUUUCGUGCCAGCAGCCGCGGUAAUACGAAAGGUGCAAGCGUUAAUCGGAAUUACUGGGCGUAAAGCGCGCGUAGGCGGUUUGCUAAGUCAGAUGUGAAAGCCCCGGGCUCAACCUGGGAACUGCAUUUGAAACUGGCAGGCUAGAAUGCAGUAGAGGGAGGUGGAAUUUCCGGUGUAGCGGUGAAAUGCGUAGAGAUCGGAAGGAACACCAGUGGCGAAGGCGGCCUCCUGGACUGACAUUGACGCUGAGGUGCGAAAGCGUGGGGAGCAAACAGGAUUAGAUACCCCAGUAGUC
This 464-nucleotide ribosomal RNA is filed under the name uncultured bacterium. Its description in RNAcentral is "bacterial SSU rRNA". It matches the Rfam family "Bacterial small subunit ribosomal RNA", at positions 338 to 795 of the family's 1533-position model. The record is from RNAcentral.